Non-coding RNA from Canis lupus familiaris (dog), 567 nucleotides. The record is from the annotation of a RefSeq genome assembly. Lineage: Eukaryota; Metazoa; Chordata; Mammalia; Carnivora; Canidae.
UUCCUUGUCACUAUUUUAAAAGGUGUCCAGGGCGACGUGCAGUUGGUGGAGCUUGGGGGAGACCUGGUGAAGCCAGGGGGGUCCCUGAGACUCUCCUGUGUGGCCUCUGGAUUCACCUUCAUUAGCUAUGCCAUGAGUUGGGUGUGCCAGGCUCCAGGGAAGGGGCUGCAAUGGGUUGCAGCUAUUAGCAGUAGUGGAAGUAGCACAUACCACGUAGACGCUGUGAAGGGCCGAUUCACCAUCUCCAGAGACAACGCCAAGAACACGGAGUAUCUGCAGAUGAACAGCCUGAGGGCUGAGGACACAGCCGUGUAUUACUGUGAUCAGGACCACCAGGGGGUGCACACUGGUCACCACUUCUAUCUUGAAGUCCCAGGAGCAGAGACCAGAGGCUUCUACUGGACCAUGAGGAUCCUCAGGGAGAGGAGUUGGAUUGAAGGACCUUCGAUCUGCAGGGCAAAACUCAUGGAUACUUCAGGGGCUGAUAUCAGUUCACUGGUUGUGAGCUUUACCAUCCCUGUGGUGAAACCUAAUGUCCAUGUGAUGGGGGAGGAGGUGGAGCCUUAG